This 1001-nucleotide ribosomal RNA is filed under the name Limosilactobacillus fermentum. RNAcentral's name for it is "bacterial SSU rRNA". It matches the Rfam family "Bacterial small subunit ribosomal RNA", at positions 446 to 1533 of the family's 1533-position model. The record is from RNAcentral. Lineage: Bacteria; Bacillati; Bacillota; Bacilli; Lactobacillales; Lactobacillaceae.
AGAGUAACUGUUCAGGUAUUGACGGUAUUUAACCAGAAAGCCACGGCUAAUUACGUGCCAGCAGCCGCGGUAAUACGUAGGUGGCAAGCGUUGUCCGGAUUUAUUGGGCGUAAAGCGAGCGCAGGCGGUUUUUUAAGUCUGAUGUGAAAGCCUUCGGCUCAACCGAAGAAGUGCAUCGGAAACUGGGAAACUUGAGUGCAGAAGAGGACAGUGGAACUCCAUGUGUAGCGGUGAAAUGCGUAGAUAUAUGGAAGAACACCAGUGGCGAAGGCGGCUGUCUGGUCUGUAACUGACGCUGAGGCUCGAAAGUAUGGGUAGCAAACAGGAUUAGAUACCCUGGUAGUCCAUACCGUAAACGAUGAAUGCUAAGUGUUGGAGGGUUUCCGCCCUUCAGUGCUGCAGCUAACGCAUUAAGCAUUCCGCCUGGGGAGUACGGCCGCAAGGCUGAAACUCAAAGGAAUUGACGGGGGCCCGCACAAGCGGUGGAGCAUGUGGUUUAAUUCGAAGCUACGCGAAGAACCUUACCAGGUCUUGACAUACUAUGCAAAUCUAAGAGAUUAGACGUUCCCUUCGGGGACAUGGAUACAGGUGGUGCAUGGUUGUCGUCAGCUCGUGUCGUGAGAUGUUGGGUUAAGUCCCGCAACGAGCGCAACCCUUAUUAUCAGUUGCCAGCAUUAAGUUGGGCACUCUGGUGAGACUGCCGGUGACAAACCGGAGGAAGGUGGGGAUGACGUCAAAUCAUCAUGCCCCUUAUGACCUGGGCUACACACGUGCUACAAUGGAUGGUACAACGAGUUGCGAACUCGCGAGAGUAAGCUAAUCUCUUAAAGCCAUUCUCAGUUCGGAUUGUAGGCUGCAACUCGCCUACAUGAAGUCGGAAUCGCUAGUAAUCGCGGAUCAGCAUGCCGCGGGGAAUACGUUCCCGGGCGAGGUACACCCCGCCUCUCACAGUCGUAACAAGGUAACCAUAGAGUUUGCUCCGGGCUCCGGUAAGUCGUAAC